GACGAACGCUGGCGGCGUGCUUAACACAUGCAAGUCGAACGAAGAGCGAUGGAAGCUUGCUUCUAUCAAUCUUAGUGGCGAACGGGUGAGUAACGCGUAAUCAACCUGCCCUUCAGAGGGGGACAACAGUUGGAAACGACUGCUAAUACCGCAUACGAUCUAAUCUCGGCAUCGAGGAUAGAUGAAAGGUGGCCUCUACAUGUAAGCUAUCACUGGAGGAGGGGAUUGCGUCUGAUUAGCUAGUUGGAGGGGUAACGGCCCACCAAGGCGAUGAUCAGUAGCCGGUCUGAGAGGAUGAACGGCCACAUUGGGACUGAGACACGGCCCAGACUCCUACGGGAGGCAGCAGUGGGGAAUCUUCCGCAAUGGACGAAAGUCUGACGGAGCAACGCCGCGUGAGUGAUGACGGCCUUCGGGUUGUAAAGCUCUGUUAAUCGGGACGAAAGGCCUUCUUGCGAAUAGUGAGAAGGAUUGACGGUACCGGAAUAGAAAGCCACGGCUAACUACGUG
This 510-nucleotide ribosomal RNA is filed under the name uncultured bacterium. RNAcentral's name for it is "partial 16S ribosomal RNA". It matches the Rfam family "Bacterial small subunit ribosomal RNA", at positions 28 to 507 of the family's 1533-position model. The record is from RNAcentral.